This 433-nucleotide ribosomal RNA is filed under the name uncultured bacterium. RNAcentral's name for it is "partial 16S ribosomal RNA". It matches the Rfam family "Bacterial small subunit ribosomal RNA", at positions 29 to 507 of the family's 1533-position model. The record is from RNAcentral.
AACGAACGCUGGCGGCAUGCCUAACACAUGCAAGUCGAACGAGACCUUCGGGUCUAGUGGCGCACGGGUGCGUAACGCGUGGGAACCUGCCCUUAGGUUCGGAAUAACUCCCCGAAAGGGGUGCUAAUACCGGAUAAUGUCUUCGGACCAAAGAUUUAUCGCCUUUGGAUGGGCCCGCGUUGGAUUAGCUAGUUGGUAGGGUAAAAGCCUACCAAGGCGACGAUCCAUAGCUGGUCUGAGAGGAUGAUCAGCCACACUGGGACUGAGACACGGCCCAGACUCCUACGGGAGGCAGCAGUGGGGAAUAUUGGACAAUGGGCGAAGGCCUGAUCCAGCACUGCCGCGUGAGUGAUGAAGGCCUUAGGGUUGUAAAGCUCUUUUACCCGGGAUGAUAAUGACAGUACCGGGAGAAUAAGCUCCGGCUAACUCCGUG